This 323-nucleotide ribosomal RNA is filed under the name uncultured eukaryote. Its description in RNAcentral is "partial 18S ribosomal RNA". It matches the Rfam family "Eukaryotic small subunit ribosomal RNA", at positions 1470 to 1796 of the family's 1831-position model. The record is from RNAcentral.
CCCUUAGAUGUUCUAGGCUGCACGCGCGCUACACUGAUACGAUCAACGAGUAUAUCACCUUGCUCGACAGAGUUGGGUAAUCUUCUGAAAUCGUAUCGUGAUGGGGAUAGAUUAUUGUAAUUAUUAAUCUUCAACGAGGAAUUCCUAGUAUGUGCGGAUCAUCAGUUCGCGCAGAUUACGUCCCUGCCCUUUGUACACACCGCCCGUCGCUCCUACCGAUUGAGUGAUCCGGUGAGUUAUUUGGACUGAGCUGCUUAGAGCAAUCUUCGUAGUUUAGAAAAUCUCGCAAACCUUAUCACUUAGAGGAAGGAGAANUCGUAACA